GCCCUUCACCUGAGGUUUCUUUCCCACCCCGGCAUGCAGUCGGCACAGCGCUGCCUGCUGCUGACCAGGAAGAGCUGCGGGCCGGAGAGGCAGGUGUGUGGAGCAGGAGCAGCAGCUUUACACGCCACAGCGUUCGGUGCCUGGCUGCCCGAGUGUAUGCUCUCAUGCCUCCUUCUGUAGGUUGGCUGUAACUGCGGAGCACGACAUUAGGCGGUACGGAAUAUCCCCUUGGUUCAGUUUGGGCCAGGUGGCCCAGCUGGGAUCCCCGCCGCCCUCCCACAACUUCUUGUGCCACUCCAGCCUCCUGGCUCGAAGGAGAGCAUAAGAAGCAGAAGCGUCCUUGGUUUCUGUGGAAGCAGCGCUCUGCUACAGCACUUAGGUGGCUGUGUGAUCCGCGCUGUUCACGGCCCGAUUCCCAAACCUGCAGGACAGGUACCUGCCAGAAGAAAAAGAUCUCUGCCCUAGCCAGACCCACGACAUUUCCCUAGCGCACUGCAGUAGCACAAAGUGAGGGUAGUCCUGUCGCUGGAGUGAGUAUCUGCGCUGCACCCGGUGGUACCGCAGCGUAACAUCGUGGCUUACGGGCCCUGAGUCUGCCGAGGUGCUUCCAAAGGAAGGGGCUCUACUGCUCCCCAAAGGCUGCGCCGCAGCAGUCUGUGGAUAAGAGGAUGCUCUGCCCAUUCGCAGCAUUUCCACUGACGCAGAGCGUAGCUACUCAGAAUGCUGUGUGGGCAAACGCAGCCGAGUUUUAACAGUAUCAUCUGGGCUGCACAGUUGCAUCUAAACCCCUGCGUUUCUACACCAGAGCCCUCCCGUAGCUGGAGGAAGCAAGCAGCCGUUCAGGACAGACCUGAGAAGACAAUGGCAUUUAACAAAUGUGACUCAGCCAAUCUGAGAGGAUACAAAGACACGUGGGUUACCAAGUGUCCCAAAAUGGCGUCUCCUCUCCGUGGAAGGCAGGCGGAUACAAGAUGGCGCCUCCCUAUGCAGGGAGGUGGGAGGGAUUUCCUGUGCAGGGCCCUGCCACCUCCGGUGGGGCUGAUUGACAUUGGGCCCUGCCCUUCACCUGAGGUUUCUUUCCCACCCCGGCAUGCAGUCGGCACAGCGCUGCCUGCUGCUGACCAGGAAGAGCUGCGGGCCGGAGAGGCAGGUGUGUGGAGCAGGAGCAGCAGCUUUACACGCCACAGCGUUCGGUGCCUGGCUGCCCGAGUGGUAAGAGAUGUUCUGUUGCACAUUGGGCGUAGUGAGGAGGGCUUGAAAGUGUAGAUUCACGGAAAGGGAGGGGGGCUCUCUGAGUGUUCUGGGGAGCCGUUCUGCCCCCUUUCUGGAGGGCAAGCGGGACAGAUGCUGUUGUUAGCAGGGAAGAUGAGAGAGCCAUAGAGCUGCAGCUUGAGGCUGUGUUUGUGCGCUCCCGGAGAAUGCUAUUGCCCAGGAGCCGCCUUUUCUCAGUGCAGCUACUCAAGGACAAGGCCCCGCGUCCUUUGGAAGGGGUGUGUGACAGGGUAAUCCUGUUCCCCUCUGGCUUCAAGCCACGCAUGCUAUUGGAAAUGCAGGGUUGAAUCCUGCUGUAGCCCCUGCAGCCUGAAAGGUACCAAAGAACUGGGCUCGAGGGCCCAAAGGCUGGGAUUGGCAAGUGGCCUUUCCGUUUCAUACUGAUGCUUUCAGGAGCAUAGCCAUAUCUUUAACUUUGGCCUGCCGAGAACUGUCUGUGGGUUACUUGUGCCUGCUGGGGUGUAGCCCUCGAGGCCCGGCUAAACAGCACACAGUGGUUCGCUCUCCCUCCCCAGGCAAGGCUGGGGACAGUACCUGGCAAGGUAGAAGUGGGAGGACGCACAGGAGAGGCUGAAGGCCGUUUCCAGGGGCAAGGCCCAGGCCGCAAGAAGGAGCAAGGCAAAAUGCGGGAUUCAUUUCCAGGUUCCCGUUGGCAGGGCAGAUGGAUAUUCAGGUGCUCCCAGAAAAGCCGGGACCGUCUAGUGUCACAGUUUGCUGGGAAGACAAUCAGCAUUGCUCCCAGUAUGCUCUCAUGCCUCCUUCUGUAGGUUGGCUGUAACUGCGGAGCACUACAUUAGGCGGUACGGAAUAUCCCCUUGGUUCAGUUUGGGCCAGGUGGCCCAGCUGGGAUCCCCGCCGCCCUCCCGCAACUUCUUGUGCCACUCCAGCCUCCUGGCUCGAAGGAGAGCAUAAGAAGCAGAAGCGUCCUUGGUUUCUGUGGAAGCAGCGCUCUGCUACAGCACUUAGGUGGCUGUGUGAUCCGCGCUGUUCACGGCCCGAUUUCCAAACCUGCAGGACAGGUGCCUGCCACAAGAAAAAGAUCUCUGCCCUAGCCAGACCCACGACAAUUCCCUAGCGCACUGCAGUAGCACAAAGUGAGGGUAGUCCUGUCGCUGGAGUGAGUAUCUGCGCUGCACCCGGUGGUACCGCAGCGUAACAUCGUGGCUUACGGGCCCUGAGUCUGCCGAGGUGCUUCCAAAGGAAGGGGCUCUGCUGCUUUCCCAAAGGCUGCGCAGCAGCAGUCUGUGGAUAAGAGGAUGCUCUGCCCAUGCGCAGCAUUUCCACCGACGCAGAGCGUAGCUACUCAGAAUGCUGUGUGGGCAAACGCAGCCGAGUUUUAACAGUAUCAUCUGGGCUGCACAGUUGCAUCUAAACCCCUGCGUUUCUACACCAGAGCCCUCCCGUAGCUGGAGGAAGCAAGCAGCCGUUCAGGACAGACCUGAGAAGACAAUGGCAUUUAACAAAUGUGACUCAGCCAAUCUGAGAGGAUACAAAGACACGUGGGUUACCAAGUGUCCCAAAAUGGCGUCUCCUCUCCGUGGAAGGCAGGCGGAUACAAGAUGGCGCCUCCCUAUGCAGGGAGGUGGGAGGGAUUUCCUGUGCAGGGCCCUGCCACCUCCGGUGGGGCUGAUUGACAUUGGGCCCUGCCCUUCACCUGAGGUUUCUUUCCCACCCCGGCAUGCAGUCGGCACAGCGCUGCCUGCUGCUGACCAGGAAGAGCUGCGGGCCGGAGAGGCAGGUGUGUGGAGCAGGAGCAGCAGCUUUACACGCCACAGCGUUCGGUGCCUGGCUGCCCUGAGUGGUCACGUGCCGGGCAAGAAAACACAGCCGCUGCAAAAACAAAUGCAGCUGGUAGAACAGUCUUGUGCCCACCUGGUCCACGGGUCACUUAGUGAUGGCCUUAAGCAAUCCUUCCGCUUGCCAUAAGCGCACGCCGGGAGUCACCUGAGCUUUCGGCACAAAGGCUGGGGCAGAUGUAACCACCACUUUCUGCUGCUGAGGAGCUCCUCCAACCAAUGCUGUCUUUCCUGGGUGUGCCUGCUGAAUUUCUGCAUUCACGCAGUUCAGCAAAAGCUUGUCUGGAAAGAACAGACUGCCCCGUUGACGCCCACGCUUUUAGGAGUACGUACACGUAUCUAAUGUUGUUAUUAUCUUGAUACACGUGUGUCUGUUUGCUAGCGUUGUCGUGGUUUAGCCCCGCAGACUGAUAAACAGCCCUGUCUCACCGGCCCCAGGUCGGGAGCGGGGACAAAGGCGGGAAGGCAACGGUGCGAGAACUCAGGGGGCUGAGAGCAAGACACCGUACUAGGGAAAGCAAAAACCAGGCCCGCACAACCAGGAAAACGGGGGGACACAUUCCCUGCAUGCCAUCGGCAGGCCGAUAUUCAGCCACAUCCAGGAACAGCGCGCUCACUGCACGUAACCAUCUCUUGGGAAGGCAAGAGCAUCCAUCCCACCAUGACCCAUUCCUCCUGCUUGACACACGCUUUCAUUGCCGAGCGUGACAUCCCGGCCCGUUUGGGCCGGCUGUGUGGCUCCGUCUCCUGGCUCUGGCUGCUCCCAGCUUCUGCUCUGUCCCCUGCCUCCUCGCUGGAUGAACAGCACAAGAAGCAGAAAAGUCCUUGGCUCUGUGCAAGCACUGCUCUGCAGCAGCCAAAAGCACGCGUGUGUUAGCACCUCUGUUUUCACGAAAAGAAUCCAAUAACCAGCACCCGUGAGACUCUGCCAGGCCACGGCACUCAAUCCCAGGCCAAAUCACAACAACUAAAGUACUGCAGUCAGAGAGCAGUGCAGUCUCGGGAGCACCUACUUGUAAGGAAAUGAAAUAGAUUUACUAGCAUGUACCAAGUGCGCUCUCUAGAUGUCGAUGAGAGUGCAUUUUGCUGUACGGCUCCCAGCUUGGCCGGCAGCCCCUUGCCAUCACAGCCCCCCUCUAACUCUCUGUCCUCAGCAGGAUCGGGUGCACAGUAAGUUGGGCAAUCUCCAGCGUUAACACUAACACAGGGAGCUCACUAUACCAAUCACCCUCACAGGCAAAACAAUCUCAACGCGCACUGAGUGGAUUUACAUUACUGCCAAUUGCAAACAGCGGCGGACAGCAAGGAACAAAACCACUUUCCACCUCUCCUCCUCUCGCUACUUCCCAGGCUCCCUUUCUCUCCUUAAUACUCAGUUCCCAGACCUCACCUCCCCACGUGCCUGCCUCGGGACCCACAGCCAUCACAGGCGGUCCGUCACAGCUCCUCCCUGAUGCUCCUUCCUCCUAACACUUCUCCCCAGCACCCACGCGGGCAAACGGAGGGCUGCUGCUUCCCUCGGGACACAUCAGCCUGCUCUGGCAUGCUCUCCUCCUUGGGCUGCAGGGGAAGCUCUGCUCCAGCUCCUGGAGCACCUCUUCCCGCUCCUCCCGCUCCUCCUGCUCUGCCUCCUCCUCCUCCCGGUCCUCAUCCUUCUCCCACCUCAGCCUGCCCCUCCUCUUGCCCCUCCUCUCCCUCCUCCUCCUGCUCCUCCUCCCGACCCACCUCCUGCUCCUCCUCUGCUCAACUGGACAUUAGCAGGGCCGUUUCUCACGCUUCUCCUUCCUCUCUCCCCACUGCUGGACAGCAGCCGCUGUCCUCUUUCUUCUCCUCCCCUCUGGGUUCAUGCCCCAAGGCGCCGCAACCUCGCGCGCUGGGCUCAGCUUUGCCCUGUGGCAGUGCCACCGGAGCCAGAUCAGAUUGCUGGCAUCUGCCUUGGGGCAGCCCUGCCUUCUCCUCAGAGGCCACCGUCAACCUCCACUGACGGCACCUACACCCCCUACACGUCUAUAGGAACACACGUCUUGUAACACCUGAGCACGUCCUGCUCCAAAGGGACUAGCCAGCCGGUCCGAGGGAGAUGGCAGAAAAUGACAGCUGCUAAAACAAAGACCGCUCAGCCAAUCACUGAGCGCUACGCAAACCCGUGGCUUACAAAGUGCCACAAAAUGGAGGCUCCCCCCUAUGGAAUGUGGACUGAAACAAAAUGGCGCCCCUGCAGUUUCACAAAAUGGCGGCAGCUCCCUGUGAAAGGCAGACUGAAAGAAAAUGGCGCCUCCCUAUGUAGGUAAAGGGGAGGGAUUUCCUGUCCGAGCCACCCCUCCCUUUGGGCAGGCCCAGUAGCGCUGGGACCUCCCCUUCACUCCCAAAACAUUCCUUGCCCUGGCAUGCACUCUGCGCAGUGUGCCUCCAGCUGGUAGCUGGGAAGAGCUGCAGGAUGGAGGCGCCGCUCAGCAGAGCACCACCACCCGCAGAAGCAGCAGCAGCAGCAGCAGCUGCACGCUCCACACUGCUCGGCGUCUCGCCGGCCGAGCGGUAGGGGGAGCUCAUCUGCCCGCUGUGUGUAGUCAGGUGAGCCUGAAGCGGUAAAGUCGGCGAGCGGGACCCCAGAUAGCGGUGAGCGUGGGGAGGUGUUUGUUGGCCCCUUUCUAGGCGGCCAGGUGGGCCCUUCCUGUUCUUCACCGGGAAGGUGAGAGAACAAGUGACCUGCACACCCUGACCGUGUUUGUGCGAUUUGAACUGCUGUGGUGCUUGUGUCCAGGUGCUUUCUUUUCUCGGCGUUACAGGUCACGUGCCGGGCAAGAAAACACAGCCGCUGCAAAAACAAAUGCAGCUGGUAGAACAGUCUUGUGCCCACCUGGUCCACGGGUCACUUAGUGAUGGCCUUAAGCAAUCCUUCCGCUUGCCAUAAGCGCACGCCGGGAGUCACCUGAGCUUUCGGCACAAAGGCUGGGGCAGAUGUAACCACCACUUUCUGCUGCUGAGGAGCUCCUCCAACCAAUGCUGUCUUUCCUGGGUGUGCCUGCUGAAUUUCUGCAUUCACGCAGUUCAGCAAAAGCUUGUCUGGAAAGAACAGACUGCCCCGUUGACGCCCACGCUUUUAGGAGUACGUACACGUAUCUAAUGUUGUUAUUAUCUUGAUACACGUGUGUCUGUUUGCUAGCGUUGUCGUGGUUUAGCCCCGCAGACUGAUAAACAGCCCUGUCUCACCGGCCCCAGGUCGGGAGCGGGGACAAAGGCGGGAAGGCAACGGUGCGAGAACUCAGGGGGCUGAGAGCAAGACACCGUACUAGGGAAAGCAAAAACCAGGCCCGCACAACCAGGAAAACGGGGGACACAUUCCCUGCAUGCCAUCGGCAGGCCGAUAUUCAGCCACAUCCAGGAACAGCGCGCUCACUGCACGUAACCAUCUCUUGGGAAGGCAAGAGCAUCCAUCCCACCAUGACCCAUUCCUCCUGCUUGACACACGCUUUCAUUGCCGAGCGUGACAUCCCGGCCCGUUUGGGCCGGCUGUGUGGCUCCGUCUCCUGGCUGUGGCUGCUCCCAGCUUCUGCUCUGUCCCCUGCCUCCUCGCUGGAUGAACAGCACAAGAAGCAGAAAAGUCCUUGGCUCUGUGCAAGCACUGCUCUGCAGCAGCCAAAAGCACGCGUGUGUUAGCACCUCUGUUUUCACGAAAAGAAUCCAAUAACCAGCACCCGUGAGACUCUGCCAGGCCACGGCACUCAAUCCCAGGCCAAAUCACAACAACUAAAGUACUGCAGUCAGAGAGCAGUGCAGUCUCGGGAGCACCUACUUGUAAGGAAAUGAAAUAGAUUUACUAGCAUGUACCAAGUGCGCUCUCUAGAUGUCGAUGAGAGUGCAUUUUGCUGUACGGCUCCCAGCUUGGCCGGCAGCCCCUUGCCAUCACAGCCCCCCUCUAACUCUCUGUCCUCAGCAGGAUCGGGUGCACAGUAAGUUGGGCAAUCUCCAGCGUUAACACUAACACAGGGAGCUCACUAUACCAAUCACCCUCACAGGCAAAACAAUCUCAACGCGCACUGAGUGGAUUUACAUUACUGCCAAUUGCAAACAGCGGCGGACAGCAAGGAACAAAACCACUUUCCACCUCUCCUCCUCUCGCUACUUCCCACGCUCCCUUUCUCUCCUUAAUACUCAGUUCCCAGACCUCACCUCCCCACGUGCCUGCCUCGGGACCCACAGCCAUCACAGGCGGUCCGACACAGCUCCUCCCUGAUGCUCCUUCCUCCUAACACUUCUCCCCAGCACCCACGCGGGCAAACGGAGGGCUGCUGCUUCCCUCGGGACACAUCAGCCUGCUCUGGCAUGCUCUCCUCCUUGGGCUGCAGGGGAAGCUCUGCUCCAGCUCCUGGAGCACCUCUUCCCGCUCCUCCCGCUCCUCCUGCUCUGCCUCCUCCUCCUCCCGGUCCUCAUCCUUCUCCCACCUCAGCCUGCCCCUCCUCUUGCCCCUCCUCUCCCUCCUCCUCCUGCUCCUCCUCCCGACCCACCUCCUGCUCCUCCUCUGCUCAACUGGACAUUAGCAGGGCCGUUUCUCACGCUUCUCCUUCCUCUCUCCCCACUGCUGGACAGCAGCCGCUGUCCUCUUUCUUCUCCUCCCCUCUGGGUUCAUGCCCCAAGGCGCCGCAACCCUCGCGCGCUGGGCUCAGCUUUGCCCUGUGGCAGUGCCACCGGAGCCAGAUCAGAUUGCUGGCAUCUGCCUUGGGGCAGCCCUGCCUUCUCCUCAGAGGCCACCGUCAACCUCCACUGACGGCACCUACACCCCCUACACGUCUAUAGGAACACACGUCUUGUAACACCUGAGCACGUCCUGCUCCAAAGGGACUAGCCAGCCGGUCCGAGGGAGAUGGCAGAAAAUGACAGCUGCUAAAACAAAGGCCGCUCAGCCAAUCACUGAGCGCUACGCAAACCCGUGGCUUACAAAGUGCCACAAAAUGGAGGCUCCCCCCUAUGGAAUGUGGACUGAAACAAAAUGGCGCCCCUGCAGUUUCACAAAAUGGCGGCAGCUCCCUGUGAAAGGCAGACUGAAAGAAAAUGGCGCCUCCCUAUGUAGGUAAAGGGGAGGGAUUUCCUGUCCGGGCCACCCCUCCCUUUGGGCAGGCCCAGUAGCGCUGGGACCUCCCCUUCACUCCCAAAACAUUCCUUGCCCUGGCAUGCACUCUGCGCAGUGUGCCUCCAGCUGGUAGCUGGGAAGAGCUGCAGGAUGGAGGCGCCGCUCAGCAGAGCACCACCACCCGCAGAAGCAGCAGCAGCAGCAGCAGCUGCACGCUCCACACUGCUCGGCGUCUCGCCGGCCGAGCGGUAGGGGGAGCUCAUCUGCCCGCUGUGUGUAGUCAGGUGAGCCUGAAGCGGUAAAGUCGGCGAGCGGGACCCCAGAUAGCGGUGAGCGUGGGGAGGUGUUUGUUGGCCCCUUUCUAGGCGGCCAGGUGGGCCCUUCCUGUUCUUCACCGGGAAGGUGAGAGAACAAGUGACCUGCACACCCUGACCGUGUUUGUGCGAUUUGAACUGCUGUGGUGCUUGUGUCCAGGUGCUUUCUUUUCUCGGCGUUACAGGUCACGUGCCGGGCAAGAAAACACAGCCGCUGCAAAAACAAAUGCGGCUGGUAGAACAGUCUUGCGCCCACCUGGUGCACGGGUCACUUAGUGAUGGCCUUAAGCAAUCCUUCCGCUUGCCAUAUGCACACGCCGGGAGUCACCUGAGCUUUCGGCACAAAGGCUGGGGCAGAUGUAACCACCACUUUCUGCUGCUGAGGAGCUCCUCCAACCAAUGCUGUCUUUCCUGGGUGUGCCUGCUGAAUUUCUGCAUUCACGCAGUUCAGCAAAAGCUUGUCUGGAAAGAACAGACUGCCCCGUUGACGCCCACGCUUUUAGGAGUACGUACACGUAUCUAAUGUUGUUAUUAUCUUGAUACACGUGUGUCUGUUUGCUAGCGUUGUCGUGGUUUAGCCCCGCAGACUGAUAAACAGCCCUGUCUCACCGGCCCCAGGUCGGGAGCGGGGACAAAGGCGGGAAGGCAACGGUGCGAGAACUCAGGGGGCUGAGAGCAAGACACCGUACUAGGGAAAGCAAAAACCAGGCCCGCACAACCAGGAAAACGGGGGACACAUUCCCUGCAUGCCAUCGGCAGGCCGAUAUUCAGCCACAUCCAGGAACAGCGCGCUCACUGCACGUAACCAUCUCUUGGGAAGGCAAGAGCAUCCAUCCCACCAUGACCCAUUCCUCCUGCUUGACACACGCUUUCAUUGCCGAGCGUGACAUCCCGGCCCGUUUGGGCCGGCUGUGUGGCUCCGUCUCCUGGCUGUGGCUGCUCCCAGCUUCUGCUCUGUCCCCUGCCUCCUCGCUGGAUGAACAGCACAAGAAGCAGAAAAGUCCUUGGCUCUGUGCAAGCACUGCUCUGCAGCAGCCAAAAGCACGCGUGUGUUAGCACCUCUGUUUUCACGAAAAGAAUCCAAUAACCAGCACCCGUGAGACUCUGCCAGGCCACGGCACUCAAUCCCAGGCCAAAUCACAACAACUAAAGUACUGCAGUCAGAGAGCAGUGCAGUCUCGGGAGCACCUACUUGUAAGGAAAUGAAAUAGAUUUACUAGCAUG
Molecule: long non-coding RNA, 9674 nt
Organism: Gallus gallus (chicken)
Lineage: Eukaryota; Metazoa; Chordata; Aves; Galliformes; Phasianidae
Exons: 3
Source: RefSeq, a predicted model, not a curated record